Molecule: long non-coding RNA, 304 nt
Filed under: Panax ginseng (ginseng)
Lineage: Eukaryota; Viridiplantae; Streptophyta; Magnoliopsida; Apiales; Araliaceae
Description: long non-coding RNA (PGIN_LNC013837)
Source: RNAcentral
UGAUUUUCACGGUCAAAAUCUUUACUAAGAGGUACAUCAUAUGCACAUGCAUGCAUUACAUGGAAUUGAUUUUUUGAAGGAUGGUGUCUAAAAUAAAGAUUGAGUAUUUUUGAUAAAAUAAAUGUGUGAUUUUGAAUUUAGUCUUGCUUAUGUAUAAUGUUCAUGGAUAUUUAGAAGUUUUCUUACAAUUUCAUACCUUGUUGAACUCAAAAAUAUUUUUGAAUUUUGUGAGUAUAUUCACUACAAACCCUCACGAGACACAACUCAUCCACUUGGGGUUUAAAGGCUUGUUGCACAUGCUAAG